Molecule: non-coding RNA, 549 nt
Organism: Astyanax mexicanus (Mexican tetra)
Lineage: Eukaryota; Metazoa; Chordata; Actinopteri; Characiformes; Acestrorhamphidae
Source: the annotation of a RefSeq genome assembly
AUGCAGGGAUCAGUGUGUCUCUUUAGAAACUCACUGACUAUUAAAACAAUCCUGAGCUGGUCUGUUCUGCUCCUGCUGUCCUCUUUAACCCACGUCCACAGCAUCAGUCUGACCUCGUCUCCUGCUCAGGUGAAGCCUCCUGGAGAAUCUGUGAGGUUGUCCUGUCAGAUUUCUGGAUAUUCCCUCACAAGCUAUGGAACAGCUUGGGUCCGGCAGCCUCCAGGUAAAGGCUUGGAGUGGAUCGGGAUCAUCUGGGGUGGUGGAUCUAUAGACUCUGGAUCUUCUUUUAAGAGUCGUUUCACAAUAUCCAGAGACACGAGCAGCAACGUGCUGUUCUUAGACAUCAGCAGCCUGGAGUCUGGAGACACGGCUGUGUAUUAUUGUGCCAGGAGAGACACAGUAGUACAGCUCAGUGAGACAGGUCGCUGUGUGAAUGGGAAAGCUCUUAACGGCAAUCAUGGUGCUGGUUCACGGAUAAAGUCCCGCCUAUUAGGAGAAACAGCCCAUCAGCUCGCUGGUUUUGCGGAGCGUGGAGGAGAGCUAGUGUGA